ACUGAUAUAGCCUAGUGGUUAGGGUGUAGGACUGUAACGCAGGCGACCAGGGUCCGAGGCCCCGGUCAGUC
Molecule: non-coding RNA, 71 nt
Organism: Gymnothorax javanicus (giant moray)
Lineage: Eukaryota; Metazoa; Chordata; Actinopteri; Anguilliformes; Muraenidae
Source: the annotation of a GenBank genome assembly